Phalacrocorax carbo (great cormorant) is the source of this 3639-nucleotide non-coding RNA. NCBI's taxonomy places the organism in Eukaryota, Metazoa, Chordata, Aves, Suliformes, Phalacrocoracidae. The record is from RefSeq and is a predicted model, not a curated record.
AAGAAGGGCAGCUCUUCAGUGGCACCCUCUGCAGUUUGCUCUGGCUCUUGCUGCACCCUGGAGAGGGAAAGGGGGUGUCUUCGAGACGAAAUGGCAGCAUUUCACCCUCUUCAGCAACGUCCCACAAGGGUGUCUUUGGCAGGGAGGAGAAGAUAGAGAAUUUCAUCCAAGAAUUCCCAGCUGGAGACAUCUGUUCAGCAGCAAGUCACCUGAUGAACAGCUCUAACCAGCCAAGUGAGCUUUGAACUCUUCUCCACACCCCAGCACAUGGCAGAGUUCAUUAAAUGGGUGGAGAAUAUCAAGAGCCACCGCUUAUCUGCACUAUCCAGGCAGCACCAGGUACCCAGAAGAAGGCUGCGUGGGGAGCCCCUCGCCUGCAAACUGCUGGAAGGGCUGAAGUCUCCCCAAGGACAGAUUAGAUGGAGAAGCAGCAGUACAGCUCCCUGAUCCUUUCUGCAUUUCACCCUGCUGAGUUAUUUGCUGUUGCAGGCAAGAGUGGGACAUCACAGGUGGAGAGCACACUAGGCUCUUCCCUUUAUUCUUCCCUUUGGAAUAGCUUUAAUUAACCAUUUUUUAUCUUUCAAAAGAAAAAGAGGUUUUUCUCACUUGAGAAAUGAGAGGGAAUGUUUUCUGAAAGCUGUGUUUUAAUUGACUCAGGCUCGGGAGCAGGGAGGCUGAGGGAAGAAUUGCUGUCAUGGAAUUAACUUUAUGAAAGAAAAGCAAAUCUCCACCCUGUUUAAACAUGGGGAAAACAUCACAGAGGCAUCCUGCUGCACCAAAUGGUAAACAUGUCCAUGUAUUAUAUCACUUAUGGCUUCCUUUAGAGUUUUAUGAUGCUGUUCUCAAUUACAGUGUUUGCAUUUGUAAUUAGAGUGCAGAACACAUUGUGAAGGCAAAUUAUAGAGCUAACUUGUCCUUUCAAAAUAACCCAUUUGCUCAGUGUGCUCCCAGAAGCUUCUCUUUAUUCAAGGGACUCCAGUGAAGCACUAACCUUUCCUACUGAAAGUGUUGGAAUAUACAUUUGCUGGAGGGAAGGGAGAGGAGGAGAAACACAUUUUUGCCCCAAGGCUUUGCUGUGCUUGGACCUGACCUUUAAACCACUGAAACUCCUGUUGGUUUCUAUAAGCAUGAUCCUCCAGAAGUUUGAGCAACUAAUGGAAUUGGGGGUGCGUGGGAGAAGAAUCGGAUUUUUUGCUCUGCCGCUAAUUACUGCUGUGGCUUUGGCUAUGUCACUUGGCCUUUUUGUGCCUCCUUAACUGGCUAAAAAUGUCCUAUGGAAGAGCCCGGAUAUUACUGUACAAUCACACACAUAUAUAAAUGAAGGUGAAUAUGCAGGACUGGUAGUUGUCCUCCAGUUUUUCAUUCCUUUGUAAUUCUGAAAGCAGCUCUUUGGAGUUGAUGUUUUUAUGUGCAUUCAGUCUUUGUCCUGGGCUCCCCUUACACAGGGGCUCAUUCUCUAUUUAAAUAUAAUGAUGACACAUUGCUUCAUGCCAUGUUGCCAUGCAAAGACAGCAGAGCUCUCUGCUGCUUGGCUUUGCUCAGUAUCUAGUGGUGUUUCACUGAGCAAUUUCUGACCAGCUGCACCAUAUGUGACGCCCCUUCGUUUUGCUCUAGCUAUUAAGUGUCAUCAGCAGAGAUCUGAUCUUCCUUUAAGGCAGGUCAAUUUUGUGUAUAGAAGACCGGAGCCUAGGCCAGAUGUGCACUUUGCCUUUGAAUUCAGUAGGGAAAAAACUGUAUCCAAGUCUAAAGUUGGACUUGAUAACGCUCUACUUAGAGUGAAAAGGAAGCAAAUUCUCCAGUUGUUACUGUUCUGCCCUGUCUGCAAAGGAUCUCUGCAUUUGGGUAUCUUUUUUUGCAAAACCUGCACGAAGCAGGAGGACUUGGCUACGAACAGGUUUCCCUGCAAGUGCAAGUAACAUUUUCAUCUCCUGUACCGUAGCCGGGAUGGCCCAGGGAAGUGCCCUGCAGCAUGUACCUCUCCCAUAAGCAUGUCCUCCCCGUUCCUGGCCAUGAGGAGUUGCCUUGGCUUUGCUCUCCAGCCAGCAUUUAGGAAAAUUUCAAGAUCAGUACUCGACCCCUACCUAGCACACUGCCCACCGGUGCCCUCUGUUCGUGCUCCAAGGCUUCACGAAACCAGGCAAAAAAAAUCAAAUAAAGAACACCUAAAAAGGCUGUGUUCUCUCAGGGUGGCAGUGUUGGGAGGAUAAAAAACCCCAGACAAACCCCAAACCACUGCUCUACGAGAUUACUACAAGCUCUUUUCUUUUUCCUUUUUCACCACUCGUCCCACUAUGAAGUAGUUUGCACAACUUUUACUCCUGCCACAGGUAAUUCUUCAUUUCAUUUCCAAUAAGCUGCUUUAGAAGUUCACCGUAGCGCUGGCUCUCUCCUUGCCAACGUUUGGUUAUUAAAUUCCUUUCUUGGUAUCUCUUGCAUGGGUCAGGAAAGUUGAUUCCCUGGCCCCAACUUUCUGCCAGGUGCUUGUUUCUUCUGAGCAAAGGUUAGGUCACCUGAUGAUUCAUUGAAUAAACUGGUUUUAUUACUUUCCCUGGGUAUGGGAGAGUUUCCUUGAAGAAAGAAGCUGCAGCACAUGGGAUGACCGUUCGAAAAAGAAGGAUUAACAAAGGGGUUUCCCAGAAAUUAUGAGUUCAACUUAAUAUCUAGUAUCACGUUUUUUGUUUAAUGGCAUUAAAUCCAAGAAAGUGCCUAGAGGAAAGGGUCUGAACUUUAUAAAUUGUGGGAUUAUUUGUGAAGUGGCUGAGGAAGGACAUUUUCUGCUGCUCUUAUGAGGGAAGACAAGACAUCCCAGCGUGGUGUUUCACAGUGCCAGAUGCACCCCAGUUUCCACAGCUGUGUGUUUAAAAUAUGGCCCAGGUUCACUGAGCAAUGUCAAAACACAUCUGCAGGGCUGACCAGGGAAUGAAAUACGGCUGCAAAAUGGGCAAACUCAAUUUUGUUGGGGGAACAAAAGAGAGGAGGGCAUUUGUCAUCCAGAGGAUCACAUCUGAGAAACACCUACUGUUGUUUGACUAGCUGGGAUUUAAAAUAUAUAUGUCAUCACCCUGUCUUUGUUGCCAGUAACACUGUUUGCUUUGCUAUGCCACCGGGCUGCUCAGGCAGCUGAACGAGACGGGUGGCUUUUCCUUCUGUUUCCAACCAGAGGAGCCCUGGCUCCAGCACCUUGCUCCCAGGGAAUCAUGCAGGCUGCCAGCAUCCAAAUGCCACCGAGGACAAAUCCAGAGAGAUGGCCACCAAAAAAUAAGAAGGUGUGAGAUGCAAUAUGAUGCUGUUUGUUUUUCUGGAAGGUCAAUAGUUUUCCUAACAUUUCAGCUUCCUGUGCUUUUCAUUUCUGAUGAAAGCCUGUUUCAGCAGUUGAAGUAAGAAAAUAGCCUGUGCGUAACACGUGGAAGACUUUUUUGAAUAAAUGUCCUUCAAAAUGAGAGACCUUUACCUGCCUUAUGAAAUCACAUAAAUAUUUCAAGAAACAGUACAGAGGAAAAUUUAUAUUCAUGUUAGAUUUCACAAUGUGAUUUUGUAACACCUACAGUGGAUUACCCAUGUUUUCUGACAGUGCUCACAACAAGAGCAGAAGACAAGCAUGUAAAAAAAAAAAAAUUAAAAGCUCUUUACUUGAUGGUA